GCUCUUGUAGCUUAGUUGGUUAGAGCCUUUGUUUUGUUAGCAAAGGUCUUGAGUUUGACUCUCAACAAGAACA
Molecule: transfer RNA, 73 nt
Filed under: Nicotiana sylvestris (wood tobacco)
Lineage: Eukaryota; Viridiplantae; Streptophyta; Magnoliopsida; Solanales; Solanaceae
Also listed under: 1 other name
Rfam family: tRNA
About the family: Transfer RNA (tRNA) molecules are approximately 80 nucleotides in length. Their secondary structure includes four short double-helical elements and three loops (D, anti-codon, and T loops).
Source: Rfam by way of RNAcentral